This 240-nucleotide unclassified non-coding RNA is filed under the name soil metagenome. RNAcentral describes it as "partial contains 5.8S ribosomal RNA, internal transcribed spacer 2, and large subunit ribosomal RNA". The record is from RNAcentral.
AACCUUAUGGACCUGCGGGCGUAUACCUGCGGAAGGAUCAUUACUGAGUACUGGGUUCUUUUAUAGGCCCACACUCCCACCCUUUGUGUAUUUACUUACUAUUUUACUUGUUGCUUUGGCGGGUUUGAUCUCCACUUCACCUUUCUGGCUAGUGGUAGGGGCGCCCGCCAAAGUAUACAACCAACUAAACUCGUUAUAACCGCGUAAUGUCUGAGUAAAAAACAAAAAAUUAAAACUUUC